RNAcentral lists this ribosomal RNA (253 nucleotides) under uncultured bacterium. RNAcentral describes it as "partial 16S ribosomal RNA". It matches the Rfam family "Bacterial small subunit ribosomal RNA", at positions 524 to 776 of the family's 1533-position model. The record is from RNAcentral.
GACAGAGGUGCCGAGCGUUAGGCGGAAUCACUGGGCUUAAAGCGUGUGUAGGCGGGCGGGCAAGUACCUUGUGAAAUCCCACGGCUCAACCGUGGAACGGCUGGGUAUACUGCCUGUCUUGAGCCAACUAGGGGCGAGCGGAACAGACGGUGGAGCGGUGAAAUGCGUAGAUAUCGUCUGGAACGCCGAAGGUGAAAACAGCUCGCUGGGGUUGUGCUGACGCUGAGACACGAAAGCCAGGGGAGCAAAUGGG